This 1742-nucleotide long non-coding RNA is filed under the name Varroa destructor (honeybee mite). RNAcentral's name for it is "uncharacterized LOC111249569". Lineage: Eukaryota; Metazoa; Arthropoda; Arachnida; Mesostigmata; Varroidae. The record is from RNAcentral.
UUAGAGUGUGUCAAUUCUGCGAAGCUGGCGGCAGAGGUGUUCCACCACACGAUACAGAGCACUCUAGUUGGAUUAUAUUACUACUACCAAUGCUUCUGGAACGGGUCUGUUCUAGCUCCACUUUAAACAGUAAUUGAGCCAUACGCGCAGAUAGACCCAACGCAGAACCGUUUGCUCAUUCUCCGAAGAACAAAAGACGAAUGAUCCUUUGCAGAAAGACGGUCUGUCGCCCGUUUCUCUAUAGCUUCACCCGGCGCUCACGGAAAGAUCGGAGCGGGUGACGUCGCCGCACUACCAGUCAGUAACAUGCGACGAAAUGUUUAGUGGGAUGUUUUCCAUUGAGCGUCUAGUGUCAUGUUAUUUUUUCCAGGUAACGCAGACGAAUGCAACUGAUGAACAAACGACCACAAGAGGGAGCUGCGUAAUAUUGGCACCUUUGCUAAGCGAGUCCGCAAUAUAACGAAGAAAUAAACGCGCAACCGAAUAAGUGAUCUGGCCGAACGGAGAUGCUUUUCAAAUGGCACGACACAAAGGCCGUUGUUUCAUGUUCUCAUAGUCGCAUCAUUCACGUCUCCUGCAUACUGAAAGUCGUCUCGACGUACCCAGGAAGGCCGCAGUCAGCCGCGUCAGUAAUUAAUCGACGUACUCAAGAACGCAGUUCGAGUUCGUGAUGAUCAUGCUUAUUCAUGGAAAACUGCAUUAACAAUGGAUGAUGAACUUAAUGAAGACACCUUGCCUUUAAGCAAGGUAAACUGACCUAAUUAAAUGGGCCAUACUACAAAAUACCCGGGUGCUAACUAAGCCAAAAUGGGCAUGAAAAAUGCAUGAGGAGGCAAAAAAGUCGCAAUCUGGACGACAUAAUUAACAUUACUAGCUAAACUUUGGUUAGGCCCUUCGAAAGGUCUGUGCCAUAACUGAAGAAAAAGAAAAAAAUCCCACAUUAGUUUGUGUAGUCUACUCGGAAUGUCUGUGUAGUCUAGCGGAAAUGGGCAGAAGAAACAUGUUUUUCUUGUAUGUACAAUUUAAUUUUUCCAUAAAAAAAAAACUCGAAAAAAUGCACUUGGAAACAUGUGCAAAAGAUCAACUAAAUAGUAUCGAUGGUAUACAACUUUAAAUCCAAAAAAAAUUAACAAUUGUAUGGAGAAGUCAAUUUUGAAAGAACAAAUUACUUAAGAAUUGGGUUUGAUUUUAGUGUGAUUUAUUGCAUACUUUAUAAGCAUAAAUAGAUAAACUUUAUGACUAAUAUGACCAUGUAAUGAAUAAUGUAAGUUACAUCUCGCAAUAACUACGAGCAACAUGAAAUACGCGGGUGAACAUAUAUGUGUAUCGUUUAGAUGAAGUACGUAUUGCACUUAAUGGCAGCGGCUGAAUUAGCUUCACUAUGACAACGGUUCGAUCUGUACAAUUCGACAAAAGAUGCUUUUAUUUUUGUGUGGAAAAUCUGUCGCACUAGAGCCGUGAGGACGUAGAUCUCAUCCAUCACCUGACGUUGGUUGCAAUGGCAGCGGCUGAAUUAGCUUCACUAUGACAACGGUUCGAUCUGUACAAUUCGACAAAAAUGCUUUUAUUUUUGUGUGGAAAAUCUGUCGCACUAGAGCCGUGAGGACGUAGAUCUCAUCCAUCACCUGACGUUGGUUGCAAUGGCAGCUUUGAAACAUUUGGCUCUUAGUUCCGUCGUAACGAACCUCACCAAUUUCUAUGAAUGUCAGUAGUUGUUAUGAAGUUAAAAACGAGGCGGUUAG